Molecule: long non-coding RNA, 860 nt
Filed under: Homo sapiens (human)
Lineage: Eukaryota; Metazoa; Chordata; Mammalia; Primates; Hominidae
Description: non-protein coding lnc-CD83-3:2
Source: RNAcentral
UCUUGGGAUACCUUUGGAGGGAUCCAGUUAAUGGACUGGCUGCCAUAAUUGGUCUGAGACACUGGUGCAAGCAUGAGAAUGGGAAUCUACAGGUCUCUAUCCCUGGUGAGCCCGGAGGUUGAGUUUUCACAAGGGCAGCAAGAAGAAUCCCUUCUCCUCUUCCUGUCCACCUUCUGAAGAGGAGGAGACAGAGCCGGGUUGCAGAUCCUCACCAAAGUGGAUGCUGUUCCCAGAGGAAGGAAGGCCCCCCCGGGGCAAGGUUGCCAACAUGACCCCACAGAGACCAGGAACAAACGUUCUUGCCUUUGGACUUCACUUCUUCACAGAGCCAGAGUUACAGGCCAACCUGAAGAUGGUAUCAUGACUCACACACACUUAUUUCUCAGCCUCAGCCAGGCUCAAGAGCAAGACUGCUGAAGGAGGAAGGGCCCUUCAUGGCCUCCUCUGCCUCGUGACUGCUUUACCUGCCACUGAUGAGGCUUCCCUGGGAUGAGAUGGAGACGAGGGCACUGAAUGACUUUGAGUUAGGGGGACUCAAGAGGGUGAGGGCACCAUGAUCAUUACCCCUUCAGUCUCCUGUCUCCCUCUUGGCAUCUCUGCAACACAGAAGGCUGGCAAUGGUGAGAUAUUAUAUUGUCAAUUAUUCAAACUUUAGAAUUUUCUGAUGCCUCAACAUCCCUGCAAAUGGGCUGUGAGCACCUUGCCCAGGUGACCAGGUGCACCAGUGUGCUAAGGCUGGUCCGGGCCACAGGUUCCCCACUUUGUGCUCCCCUGACUGGGACCUAGUGACAUCAACACCACCAGUGCAAUCCCCUCACACCUUUUGCUUGUGGAUUCCCCUCUGAAGUCCAAUAAAGGCG